AACGAACGCUGGCGGCAGGCCUAACACAUGCAAGUCGAGCGCCCCGCAAGGGGAGCGGCGGACGGGUUAGUAACGCGUGGGAAUGUACCCUUUUCUACGGAAUAGCCUCGGGAAACUGAGAUUAAUACCGUAUACGCCCGGUAACGGGGAAAGAUUUAUCGGAGAAGGAUCAGCCCGCGUAAGAUUAGAUAGUUGGUGGGGUAAUGGCCUACCAAGUCUACGAUCUUUAGCUGGUUUGAGAGGAUGAUCAGCAACACUGGGACUGAGACACGGCCCAGACUCCUACGGGAGGCAGCAGUGGGGAAUCUUAGACAAUGGGCGCAAGCCUGAUCUAGCCAUGCCGCGUGAGUGAAGAAGGCCUUAGGGUCGUAAAGCUCUUUCAGUGGGGAAGAUAAUGACGGUACCCACACGAAGAAACCCCGGCUAACUCCGUGCCAGCAGCCGC
RNAcentral lists this ribosomal RNA (445 nucleotides) under uncultured bacterium. RNAcentral's name for it is "bacterial SSU rRNA". It matches the Rfam family "Bacterial small subunit ribosomal RNA", at positions 29 to 518 of the family's 1533-position model. The record is from RNAcentral.